UCACUGGUGGUCCAGUGGCUAGGACUCUGCACUUCCAAUGCAAGGAGCCUGGGUUUGAUCCCUGGUCAAGGAA
RNAcentral lists this transfer RNA (73 nucleotides) under Bos indicus (zebu cattle). It matches the Rfam family "tRNA". From Rfam's summary of the family: Transfer RNA (tRNA) molecules are approximately 80 nucleotides in length. Their secondary structure includes four short double-helical elements and three loops (D, anti-codon, and T loops). The record is from Rfam by way of RNAcentral. Lineage: Eukaryota; Metazoa; Chordata; Mammalia; Artiodactyla; Bovidae. RNAcentral also lists the same sequence under 2 other names.